This 585-nucleotide ribosomal RNA is filed under the name uncultured bacterium. RNAcentral describes it as "partial 16S ribosomal RNA". It matches the Rfam family "Bacterial small subunit ribosomal RNA", at positions 355 to 1375 of the family's 1533-position model. The record is from RNAcentral.
UGGGGAAUUUUGGACAAUGGGCGAAAGCCUGAUCCAGCAAUGCCGCGUGUGUGAAGAAGGCCUUCGGGCUGUAAAGCACUUUUGUCCGGAAAGAAAUUCUUGGCUCUAAUACAGUCGGGGGAUGACGGUACCGGAAGAAUAAGCACCGGCUAACUACGUGCCAGCAGCCGCGGUAAUACGUAGGGUGCAAGCGUUAAUCGGAAUUACUGGGCGUAAAGCGUGCGCAGGCGGUUUGCUAAGACCGAUGUGAAAUCCCCGGGCUCAACCUGGGAACUGCAUUGGUGACUGGCAGGCUAGAGUAUGGCAGAGGGGGGUAGAAUUCCACGUGUAGCAGUGAAAUGCGUAGAGAUGUGGAGGAAUACCGAUGGCGAAGGCAGCCCCCUGGGCCAAUACUGACGCUCAUGCACGAAAGCGUGGGGAGCAAACAGGAUUAGAUACCCUGGUAGUCCACGCCCUAAACGAUGUCAACUAGUUGUUGGGGAUUCAUUUCCUUAGUAACGUAGCUAACGCGUGAAGUUGACCGCCUGGGGAGUACGGUCGCAAGAUUAAAACUUAAAGGAAUUGACGGGGUCAUAGCUGUUUCCU